This 713-nucleotide long non-coding RNA is filed under the name Octopus vulgaris (common octopus). The record is from RNAcentral. Lineage: Eukaryota; Metazoa; Mollusca; Cephalopoda; Octopoda; Octopodidae.
CGACGACGAAGAUGAGUACAAGGAUGAGAAGAAGAAAAAGGAGGAGGAUGAGGAUGGGGAGGAGUAGUGUUUUGUGUUAGCCGAUUCGUGUCGUCGCCCUCUUUCAAACAUCGCUCUCCUCAUCUGCCGCCCUUCCUCCUACUCCCCCGACCCUUGCCAGUCGUCCGUUCGCUCCUCUCUUGCUGCUUUCUUUUCGUCGUACACCCGGGGAAAAAAAAAAAAAAUAAGAAGGCAUCGAUGAAGAGAGCAAAUAGCAUGAUUUAGGGAGAAGAGAAGAACGACGGCGGUGACGGGAAAGGAAAGGAAAAGACAAGAUAGAAAAGGAAAGUGAAAGCAAAGGGGGAAGAAAAAAGCGCGAAAAGAGAAAAGAGAGAGAGAGAAAGAAAGAAAGAUAUAGCGAGAAAGGGUGAGGGUGAGAGAGAGAGAGAGAAAGAGCAGAAGUGUGGAAAUAACAACAUCAGUAUACGAAGCCCUGUCGGGGUUAUAUGGGCAAUAUUUAGUAUCUGUUACCCCUGGGGGAAAGAUACCAAGUCAGCACCGAAGCAGAAGAAGGAAGAGGAGGAGGAGGCGGAAGAAGAGGAGAAGGAAAAAAUAUAAUUUACACUUCAAGUUCUUCUCAUUGUAAGUCGUUUAUUACAAUUAAUAUUAUUAUUGCCGUUGUUGUUGUUGUUGUUAUUGCUGUGGUUGUGAUUGCCGAUGAUGUUAUCGCUGUU